AAAAAAGAAUACAAGAACUGCUAAUUCAUGUCUCCAUAAUUAAAAUUAUGGCUUUUUUA
Molecule: transfer RNA, 59 nt
Filed under: Tylonycteris fulvida
Lineage: Eukaryota; Metazoa; Chordata; Mammalia; Chiroptera; Vespertilionidae
Description: tRNA-Ser
Source: RNAcentral